UAGAGUGAGCAGGGCAUGUGAGUGCAAUUGUGUAGGCCUAUUCGUUUGCAAUGCACUUGGAAUGCACUUGGCAAAGCAAGCGAAUUCAAAGCAUUUUGAAAAUUAUUCACUUCCUGCUGCCAGUUUGUGGUGCUAUAAUGUUGACUCUUAAUAGUCACAUACAUACGAUCAGUAUCAUACAACGAACAAACCGAUGAAGCUUGAUGAAACUCAGGCAAUGUAUGUGGAUGUUAUUAGGCAUUUCCUGUUUCUCAUUUUUUGCCCUAAUUUCAAAGCCUCACCAUGGGCAAACCAUUCGAGAUAUCAAAAAUCCCCUCGCAAAUUUUCAUCUUCAAUGUCUUGAGAUCAUGUUCACCGUUUUUUUGUGGCAAAUGGGUGGAAAACCUCAGAGUAGUAUUUUAAAUUCCAGAGCAUGCUUUUUUUAAACAUCCCUGAAUAGCUGACUUCCUGUUGGGCGGAGCCUAUCACAUAGAGCGCGAAAGUUGUUUGGCUCAAUGAGAUCUAUAAGUGUACUGAGUUUCAUAUAAAUACAUCCAAGUGUGUGUGAGCUGUGGUUCAAGAUUUCUGACUGUGUUCCAGGGGGCGAUGUAGAGCCCCUGUGCCACGCCCGGUUGCCAGCCUCUGCGGCGUCCUAAUGAACGCAUUAUCUUCAGCUGGCAUGUUCCCGUGACAACGCAGCAUGGUGUCCGUCAGCAGAUUCUGCAGCAUAACAAAUCUACGCUUCAUUUUUAUAUAUUAUUUAGCAUAUUUAAAAAACUUUUUAGAAUACAAAAUGUAUGUUUAUUUGCCACAGUUAUGCUAACAACAAUAAAAACAUUUAUGACAGUAAACCUGCACAUCUGCUGACAAACACCAUGCUGAAUUGUCACAGGAACAUGCCCUCUGAAGAUAAUGAGCAAAUUACGUCGCUCACUUUGCCAAGUGCAUUACAAACGAAUACAUAAUGGCACACACGUGCCCUGCUCACUCCAAGGGGAUAGGGAUGAUCACUUCCAUUUAGAAUUUGCUUUGUGAACUGUUCUGAACUGAUACUCAUAUCGGCCAUCCCUAACUUAGGGUUUUCAGUGAUUCUUUCUGAAGGUUAUAUCGUUAUACCAGUAAGUGGCAUUAUUGAAUAAUUGAAUCAAGAAUUCAUCAGCAAAGCCAGAUCCUUCAGCCCAACCUACUCGUUCACAAUCACCAAAGUUCUGAUUCUCCUCACCUGUCUGCACUAAUCUAAGCCACCUUCCUGUCACCACCUCAGUGUCUGGUCUUGUUGUUACUUCUUGAAGCAGCUUGCCUGAGCUGUUCUGGUCCCAUUACUGUCAGUCAUCUCCUCAGCAUUUGGAUUCCCCAUGAACCUUCAAAUCAAGGACAGUGUUACUGCUCUGACCAGACCCAACAUGAAAAACCACACAGAGCCAAGCAGCGCUCAUGAGCCCAGAUCUAUUUGCACAGGCCUUCCAUUAAUCUUCAGCCACUCUCCACUGUUUCAGUCAGUCAAUGCAGCAGAUUCCUGCUCCAAUGCUUGCAUCUUAUCUCUGUCUUUAGAAUGCAGCUCUCUCCAAAUAUCCAACAGACCAAGUUUCUUACAAGUAUUUUGCAAACUGAGGAUUUACAACCAAAUAAAAAGUGGGGUGAGGAUUUAUCUAGACUUCCAUCAUGACAAAUAUAUGGCAAUUUGGAUCAUAGACAUUCCUACAGUGAUUGUCGUCCAAGAAGUUAACACAAAUCUUCAGAACCUGUAGGCUUGAGAAUAUAUAAAUAUAUUUAUGAAUCGGAAUUGCAGUGUCCCUCCUCUGAAGUAAAAGAGGAAAAAUAAAUCUUACCAACCCAA
This is a long non-coding RNA of Carassius gibelio (silver crucian carp), 1816 nucleotides long. RefSeq lists it as uncharacterized. The transcript is spliced from 2 exons. The record is from RefSeq and is a predicted model, not a curated record. NCBI's taxonomy places the organism in Eukaryota, Metazoa, Chordata, Actinopteri, Cypriniformes, Cyprinidae.